GAUGAACGCUGGCGGCGUGCCUAAUACAUGCAAGUCGAGCGAACGGACGAGAAGCUUGCUUCUCUGAUGUUAGCGGCGGACGGGUGAGUAACACGUGGAUAACCUACCUAUAAGACUGGGAUAACUUCGGGAAACCGGAGCUAAUACCGGAUGAUAUUUUGAACCGCAUGGUUCAAAAGUGAAAGACGGUCUUGCUGUCACUUAUAGAUGGAUCCGCGCUGCAUUAGCUAGUUGGUAAGGUAACGGCUUACCAAGGCAACGAUGCAUAGCCGACCUGAGAGGGUGAUCGGCCACACUGGAACUGAGACACGGUCCAGGCUCCUACGGGAGGCAGCAGUAGGGAAUCUUCCGCAAAGGGCGAAAGCCUGACGGAGCAACGCCGCGUGAGUGAUGAAGGUCUUCGGAUCGUAAAACUCUGUUAUUAGGGAAGAACAUAUGUGUAAGUAACUGUGCACAUCUUGACGGUACCUAAUCAGAAAGCCACGGCUAACUACGUG
RNAcentral lists this ribosomal RNA (497 nucleotides) under uncultured bacterium. Its description in RNAcentral is "partial 16S ribosomal RNA". It matches the Rfam family "Bacterial small subunit ribosomal RNA", at positions 28 to 507 of the family's 1533-position model. The record is from RNAcentral.